This 650-nucleotide long non-coding RNA is filed under the name Pan troglodytes (chimpanzee). Its description in RNAcentral is "lincRNA". The record is from RNAcentral. Lineage: Eukaryota; Metazoa; Chordata; Mammalia; Primates; Hominidae.
GGGGGCAGGAAAGACCAGACAGAGCUGCAUCUCCCAUGAAAACAACUGUGUACAUAUGAUAGAGUGAGUACAUAGAGUACAUAGAAGAGUGAGCUCUGAAAGAACUCUCACAUGGACCCCCAGAAAGAGGAGUACUCAACGCCUGCUGCACAGAAGGCAUCAGCAGUUAAGUACUGGCUAGAAAAGCGGAGUCCAUCAAAGGAGAGGACCACAGUGGUAGCUGCCUGCUAAAGCUCUCAGUGUGAAUCAUGUUCCAUCAAUGAAACACACACAUGUGCAAUGUGGAAGAUGAGUGAAAUCCAGGCUAUCUUCCUGAAGCUACUGUUCCUGGCAAGUGUAGCUGUGGGGACUGAGUUUUGGGCAGCAGCAACUAACUCCCAGCUUCCAUGUGCUUGAGAGUCAGUUGCCAGGAUGCCAGCAGCUGCAUCCUCAGUCUAAGAUUGCAGCCAAUGGUGAUGUUUUCAUGAAUCCACCGUUCACGUGGCAGCCUCCUGGAGCUCAGACUGAUGCCUGCUCCUCCAGCCUUCCAAUACCUUUGCAAACACCUGAAUUCCACAUUAAUCUCUCUCUGUUUAGAACACCCAGAGUGGCUUGGGUUUCCUGGGCUGAACCCUGCCUGGAGAGCUGUCCCUGCAAGCUGAACUAUCAGA